This 21-nucleotide microRNA is filed under the name Lepisosteus oculatus (spotted gar). RNAcentral describes it as "Loc-Mir-10-P1c-v2_3p* (star (passenger))". Lineage: Eukaryota; Metazoa; Chordata; Actinopteri; Semionotiformes; Lepisosteidae. RNAcentral also lists the same sequence under 2 other names. The record is from RNAcentral.
CAAAUUCGUAUCUAGGGGAGU